AGGGGGGGCAAGCGUUGUUCGGAAUUACUGGGCGUAAAGGGCUCGUAGGCGGCCAACUAAGUCACACGUGAAAUCCCCAGGCUUAACCUGGGAACUGCGUGUGAUACUGGAUGGCUUGAAUUCGGGAGAGGGAUGCAGAAUUCCAGGUGUAGCGGUGAAAUGCGUAGAUAUCUGGAGGAAUACCGGUGGCGAAGACGGCAUCCUGGACCGACAUUGACGCUGAGGAGCGAAAGCUAGGGGAGCAAACGGGAUUAGAUACCCCGGUAGUCCUAGCCCUAAACGAUGAAUGCUUGGUGUGGCGGGUAUCGAUCCCUGCCGUGCCGAAGCUAACGCAUUAAGCAUUCCGCCUGGGGAGUACGGUCGCAAGGCUG
Molecule: ribosomal RNA, 371 nt
Filed under: uncultured bacterium
Lineage: Bacteria
Description: bacterial SSU rRNA
Rfam family: Bacterial small subunit ribosomal RNA
Source: RNAcentral